Molecule: unclassified non-coding RNA, 956 nt
Filed under: Hevea brasiliensis (rubber tree)
Lineage: Eukaryota; Viridiplantae; Streptophyta; Magnoliopsida; Malpighiales; Euphorbiaceae
Source: RNAcentral
GGAAAUCUGCUUAGACUUAAUUUUAGUUUUGUAUUUUAAUUUUUUUAGUGCCUCAAAUGGUGGCCGAGAGUGAGAUGAAGAAAGAUGCUUCUACUGAUUCUCCCACUUUGGUUCUUGAAGAAAAUUCCCGUUUUCUCAGUUUAUUUUUCUGCCUUCUCCCAGCUGUCUCAUUUCAUCACCUUCUGCCCAACUCCAAACACAAGGUCAUGUCAGCCACUUCAUUUCUGGAAGAAUCAUGCCCCUGUACAUGUAAGUUUAUUAUUAUAUUGAUAUUUACUUAUUUAGCUCCAUUUUUGAUAUAUUUGCUUCACUUAGUAUGCUUUCUGUAAUGCCCAUUAACUUACUUAAAUAACAUUUUUCCUUUAGUUUUGGUUUAGUGCAUUAAUCAAGCUUUGAGAGUUUUUUUUUCACACACACAAAAAAAAGUCUUAUUGUCUACUAUAAAAGAACAACUUGGUCUUUUAUAUGCAGUGCAAGUUUUUUAUGGUUAGGAAUUAUAACGUUAUUGCCUCCUGUACUGAUUAGCCACUCAUUGUUUAAUAAUUGAGUUUGUAAUUUUUCCCAUAUGAGCCACCUAUGUUUGUUUCAGAGAAUCAAGAAGGAUAAGGUGUUCUACUUUACAGUUUAUGGUAGAAGCACCCACAUAGCACCUCCUAUGUGGUUUAUAAAUUAUUAGCUCUAAUUCACUAACAAACAUGUAUACAUAUUUUAUUUUGUUUUUAUUUUGGAAUUUUCUUGUCUCUUUGUAGUUCCACUUUAAUCAUUCUACCAUCUUGUAAGUUGAUCUUUGACGUUUCACGCAUCAAAAGAUUCGAAAGUUUCACGCAUCAAUAUACUUGAUAGUCCGGGUGGAGCAGAAGCGUUUGAAUUAAUUGCAAAGUUCUGUUAUGGUGUAAAUGUUGAGAUUACACUAUCAAAUAUUGCUAAACUUAUUACUUGUAUGGUUAACUUUAUAU